Molecule: ribosomal RNA, 498 nt
Filed under: uncultured bacterium
Lineage: Bacteria
Description: partial 16S ribosomal RNA
Rfam family: Bacterial small subunit ribosomal RNA
Source: RNAcentral
GACGAACGCUGGCGGCAUGCCUAACACAUGCAAGUCGAACGGAGAUUCUUUCGGUAAUCUUAGUGGCGAACGGGUGAGUAACGCGUGGGCACCCUGCCCUCUAGAUGGGGACAACAUCCCGAAAGGGGUGCUAAUACCGAAUGUGACAGCAAUCUCGCAUGAGGAUGCUGUGAAAGAUGGCCUCUAUUUAUAAGCUAUCGCUAGAGGAUGGGCCUGCGUCUGAUUAGCUAGUUGGUGGGGUAACGGCCUACCAAGGCGAUGAUCAGUAGCCGGUCUGAGAGGAUGAACGGCCACAUUGGGACUGUGACACGGCCCAGACUCCUACAGGAGGCAGCAGUGGGGAAUCGUCCGCAAUGGACGAAAGCCUGACGGAGCAAUGCCGCGGGAGUGAUGAAGGAAUUCGUGCCGUAAAGCUCUGUUGUUUAUGACGAAUGUGCAGAUUGUGAACAAUGAUCUGUAAUGACGGUAGUAAACGAAUAAGCCACGGCUAACUACGUG